Molecule: ribosomal RNA, 253 nt
Filed under: uncultured bacterium
Lineage: Bacteria
Description: partial 16S ribosomal RNA
Rfam family: Bacterial small subunit ribosomal RNA
Source: RNAcentral
UACAGGGGGUGCAAACGUUGCUCGGAAUUAUUGGGCGUAAAGCGCGCGUAGGCGGCUACUUAAGUCGGAUGUGAAAGCCCUUGGCUCAACUGAGGAAGUGCACCCGAAACUGAGUGGCUAGAGUACGGAAGAGGCGAGUGGAAUUCCUGGUGUAGCGGUGGAAUGCGCAGAUAUCAGGAGGAACACCAAUAGCGAAGGCAGCUCGCUGGGACGUUACUGACACUGAGGCGCGAAAGCGUGGGGAGCGAACAGG